RNAcentral lists this ribosomal RNA (583 nucleotides) under Bacillus zhangzhouensis. RNAcentral describes it as "bacterial SSU rRNA". It matches the Rfam family "Bacterial small subunit ribosomal RNA", at positions 55 to 618 of the family's 1533-position model. Lineage: Bacteria; Bacillati; Bacillota; Bacilli; Caryophanales; Bacillaceae. The record is from RNAcentral.
AUGCAAGUCGAGCGGACAGAAGGGAGCUUGCUCCCGGAUGUUAGCGGCGGACGGGUGAGUAACACGUGGGUAACCUGCCUGUAAGACUGGGAUAACUCCGGGAAACCGGAGCUAAUACCGGAUAGUUCCUUGAACCGCAUGGUUCAAGGAUGAAAGACGGUUUCGGCUGUCACUUACAGAUGGACCCGCGGCGCAUUAGCUAGUUGGUGGGGUAAUGGCUCACCAAGGCGACGAUGCGUAGCCGACCUGAGAGGGUGAUCGGCCACACUGGGACUGAGACACGGCCCAGACUCCUACGGGAGGCAGCAGUAGGGAAUCUUCCGCAAUGGACGAAAGUCUGACGGAGCAACGCCGCGUGAGUGAUGAAGGUUUUCGGAUCGUAAAGCUCUGUUGUUAGGGAAGAACAAGUGCGAGAGUAACUGCUCGCACCUUGACGGUACCUAACCAGAAAGCCACGGCUAACUACGUGCCAGCAGCCGCGGUAAUACGUAGGUGGCAAGCGUUGUCCGGAAUUAUUGGGCGUAAAGGGCUCGCAGGCGGUUNCCUAAGGUCUGAUGUGCAAAGCCCCCCGGCUCAACCGGGG